RNAcentral lists this transfer RNA (57 nucleotides) under Macroponema beveridgei. RNAcentral describes it as "tRNA-Asp". The record is from RNAcentral. Lineage: Eukaryota; Metazoa; Nematoda; Chromadorea; Rhabditida; Strongylidae.
AAAGUUUUAGUAUAAAAUUAGUAUAAUUUAUUGUCAAUAAUUAGGUUUAAACUUUAA